AACGAACGCUGGCGGCAGGCUUAACACAUGCAAGUCGAACGCCCCGCAAGGGGAGUGGCAGACGGGUGAGUAACGCGUGGGAAUCUACCUAGUUCUACGGAACAACAGUUGGAAACGACUGCUAAUACCGUAUACGCCCUACGGGGGGAAAGAUUUAUCGGAAUUAGAUGAGCCCGCGUAAGAUUAGCUAGUUGGUGAGG
RNAcentral lists this ribosomal RNA (200 nucleotides) under uncultured bacterium. RNAcentral describes it as "partial 16S ribosomal RNA". It matches the Rfam family "Bacterial small subunit ribosomal RNA", at positions 29 to 257 of the family's 1533-position model. The record is from RNAcentral.